Molecule: ribosomal RNA, 497 nt
Filed under: uncultured bacterium
Lineage: Bacteria
Description: partial 16S ribosomal RNA
Rfam family: Bacterial small subunit ribosomal RNA
Source: RNAcentral
GAUGAACGCUGGCGGCGUGCCUAAUACAUGCAAGUCGAGCGAACGGACGAGACGCUUGCUUCUCUGAUGUUAGCGGCGGACGGGUGAGUAACACGUGGAUAACCCACCUAUGAGACUGAGAUAACUUCGGGAAACGGGAGCUAAUACCGGAUGAUAUUCUGAACCGCAUGGUUCGAAAGUGAGAGACGGUCUUGCUGUAACGUCUAGCUGGAUCCGCGCUGCUUUGGCUGGUUGGUAAGGUAACGGCUUACGAAGGCAACGAGGCCUAACCGAGCUGAGAGGGUGGUAGCCCGCAUUGGAACUUAGACGCGGUCCAGGCUCCUACGAGAGGCAGCAGUAUGGUAUCGUCCGCAGUAGGGGAGAGCAUGACAGAGCAACGCCGCGUGAGAGAUGGAGGUCUUGGGAGCGUAAAACUCUGUUAUUAGUGAAGAACAGAUUUGGAAGGAGCUGUGCAGAGCGUGACGGUACCGAAUCAGAAAGCCACGGCUAACUACGUG